Molecule: long non-coding RNA, 8048 nt
Filed under: Taeniopygia guttata (zebra finch)
Lineage: Eukaryota; Metazoa; Chordata; Aves; Passeriformes; Estrildidae
Description: lncRNA (ENSTGUG00000019107.1)
Source: RNAcentral
GUAAAAAAUGUUUAAUUUUGAAGUUACUCUGUGCAGAUGACACCACAUAUGGAUAUAAGGCAGAUAGUUUCUUGAGGUAUGAAACAGAUUUUUAGUAGCCUCACAAUCAGGUAUAUUAGAGCAGAAUCGAAGAUCUCCAGUUAAGAGACAUACAUGCAUAAGGAAAAAGACCUUUGCCAAACAUAUGUACAACACAGAUAGGACAGAAUAAAAAUGUGUAGUUGCCUCUAAUGCUUUAAUUUCUUUCAUUUUAGGGAAACUCACUCUUUACUCCAAUAUUUUCAUCAUUAGUGCACCAUUAUCUUUCAGUGCUGUCUACAAUAUAUAGAUGAGAUUCCUCUUCCAUACAAAAUAAUUUAUGCCUUUUGUGUUCCUUUCAAAACCCUUUUGAGACAACCUCUAAUCAUUUUCUUGAUCAAAUGGCAAACCUGGUGUUUAACCCACCCCAUUACUGUCUUCUUCUUAGCAGCAGAAUAUUCUCACUUGAUGUCUGUAACUUAAUCUUCACACAGUUAACCUUCUCCCUCUGCAAUUGCUCCUGUAGCAGAGCUCUGAAGGUGCUUAUUCAUCUUCUCCAUGACCCAGCACUCAGUAGAAACUUUGCAGCCUUAUUCCUUCUAUGCUUUUUGCCCAUAAAUAAGCCAUACUGGUAAAUAAAAAAUCAUCUAUCAUUUUUAGGUCAGUGACCAACAGAUUUAUUACCCAUCCAUAGACAUGUCUCACUUAACUUAAGCUAAACUAAUAGUCUGCUGCACUGGCAUUUCCUCUUAGUGCUCUGACUUAAGACUUUAAGAUUAAGUGCAAAAUGUUCAAAGCCAAAUCCUGUCUUUCUUCCCAUUACCUUUAGCCUUACCACUGGAAAAUACCACAAAGACUUAUGAUUGUGAAUAAUCUUAGAUGUGACCUCCUUAUCCAUGUCUGCCUUUCAAUUCUCACUGCAUAACACUUCUUCACAGCAGAAACUUACAACCACAUCACUCACUCUCUCAUUACUUGCUUCCCACAGUAUUCGUUUCCCUGUCUUUGACAAAUACCAUCUUGCCUUGCUUCUAGCCUGUCAGCAGCAAAGUUAGUUUUCUUAGCUCAUUGUUUUGACUGUACCAUUCUUCUCCUUGUAUUCUGUAACAACAAACAUAAGCUGCUCACAGUGCUUUCAAGGCUCUGUGACUGAUCUAUCCUCUCCCAUUUACUGUAUCACCACAUUUAAAGGCCACAUUAAUGUAAUCAACCUUCACUCAGAUUCUCACCCCUCCCCUACACCUAAAUAGAUCAAUUUAAGCUAUCCAUUGGUAACUGCAGCCAGAUUGCUGCCAGCCAAAUUUCAAGGCCCAGCUCGCUUCCUGGGUCUUUUUGGCAGGCUGAAGUGUGAACCACCUCUUCUACCUGAACUAGAAGCCACUUGAUUUGCGACUAGUCAAGCCAAAGGCUGUAAUGAGGAUGCUUAAUGGAUGAUAGGAAUGCUUCAGUAGAUCAGUCAAAGUACAAUUUGCUGACCUCAAAAAACACCAACAAAAUAACCCCAAACCCAAACCACACACAUCCCUACAAUUUUCCAUCUAUGAUCAUUAGCACAAAUUUAUUUCAGUCAUUAGAAUUCCACUCCUCUCCACUAGCUAUCAGUUUUCAGUAUUUCCCAUGGUUUAAGCACACAGUAUCUUUCUAGUGAUACAAAUCAAACCUCCCACUGACUCAGUGGGAACAGCAGUUUCUCUAGGUGACAAUCCCAAAACCAAAUGGUGAAUGCAAACAUGAGACAAAAAGCCAAAAUAAUCUUAUUAUUAGGUGGAAAGAAUAUAAGAAGAGCAAGUGUUCAGCUGAAACAAUUAUUUAUUAAAGAUUUUUUUUCUUUCAUAGAUCUUCUAUAGUAGUUUUUGAGAGAAGUGCAGUAGCUAGAAAAAUCUGAGUGUUUACAGUUAGGAGCACCAAAAUAAGAUGUUUUAUUCACUUACAAAUAUUUUCUUUUUGGUUUAUGUGUGUGUCUGCAGUCUGGCUGCAAUAUGUUGUUCUCCAAGUAAUUAUUUUCAGAUGACAUCCUGAAUGAUUUUUAAACUGUCAUUUAUUCUUUCCUCUUUACCAAAAAAUAUAUUCUAUCUUCUUUAUUUCUUUUAACCCUCAUAAUCUGCACAAAUUGUUACUAGCACUGCUCUUCUAUCAAUAAAAAGGUGAGGUCCUCUUGACUUCUUUCUGUGACUCCAGGUUCAUGAGUUCUGCUCUUUCCAAGAACACAGUGUGCACCCAGGUGACAACAGACGUGUGGCCAUGCAAGUUGUGCAGUCAGGGGGAUCUAAGUAUGAUACUGGCUUAACACUGUGACAUCACCACUCACUGGAAAACUGGCACACCAGAUCAACAUCUCAGUCGAUGGCCCUUUGAGCUUAUACUAUUUUGGCCCUUAAAAUCUCCACUUGAAAUUCAGUCCUCAGCUGGGGUAAUGUCUGUGAUAAUGUACAGAAGAGGACUGGACAUGUCAAAGGAUUUUGCAGUCAGAAAAAAUAUAGUUUAUAAGAGGAAGAAGACAUACAGAGACCAAAAUGAUGAUUUAGAGUAUUCUCAGAGGAGAGAGGGAGAGACACUGUGUGUACAGUUAACCCCAAAUGCACCAUUACCCUAAACUUACAGGUUACUGUCAAGUCUGGUCUCAGUUAAAAGCCAUUAAGGAGCCCACCGGUCAUGCUUCCAGCUUUUUACUGCUGGACAUAGAAUUUCACUUGACAUCACUGGUCCCAAGAAAAAUUUGUUUCCUCUCCUAAAUCUUGUGAUUGCCAAAGAACCUCUAGAGGGAUUUAUCCUACUGCUCUUUAGAUAAGAGAAACAUAAUGUACUGUGUAACUCAGCAAUUUUUAAAGGUGCCCAAUGCCACAGUUUUCAAAUUUGUAACCAGCCAGAGUAAGGAAUGCUUUGCUGUAUGUCAGAGAACUAGCCAGGUUUAUUUCUUGACAUGAUUAUUGAUUAAAACAUAAUUAAGAAACAUAGGGUUUUAGUCAUGAAAUAAAGUCACAAAGGAUAAAAUUACAAUGGCAUCAUUAAGACCACAUUUAACAAGAUGUUCUCCCUAACUGAAUUCAAUAGCAGUUAUGUUGUGCACCAUUUUCUCUUAGGUUUAUUGAAAACUUACCCACCACUAUCAAGUCAAGAUGGGAUGAUUUUGUCAUUAUGGCUCUUGCAUAUGCCACAGACCUUCUUUCCACACUCACAUCCAUUUGCACAUGAAGAGCACAGGACAAAGGCUGAGAACCUUUCCGACUCAUCUCAAAACAGAAUUUCUCAUGUCUAGAAGAAAGUUUUCCUCCUCUUUCCUUGUGAGUGAUGCCACACAACACUGAGGAGCAAGGAAUUACUUUACUCUUUCCCCACCUCUUCUCCCAAAGUUUCCAUGAAGAUUUUCACUAUAUGUCUCAGUUAGUGCCUUCAGCUUGUAGGUUUAACGAUCAUUAUAAAACAAAUACGUAAGCCAAUUAAUGGAGGAAAUAUUUAUAGAUACUAUUCAUUAUUAGCUCUAUUCUAAAUGAAUAAAAGUAGAUAACAAUUUGAGUAACACAGAUUCAGCUCCAUGCUUUAGGUUGCAUGGAUUUUCUCCUACUAUUUAAAUUGUAUUUGUAUUGCUGGGUACAGUAUGGUGGGUACAGUAUUAUUAUACAUAUAUAUAAGAAAAGCAAGGAUUAAUGGAUUAAAAGACUUCCUUCUUUACAUUACUCUGUUCAAUAAGAGUAGUCUAAGCAGAUUUAUGAUUCAGUAGUGGUUUAGCCUAGCAGAGAAGUAUAGUGAAUUUUCCUUACUUACUGUCUAAAUCAAGCAAAGAACUGCAGCAGCUCAACACCCAAAGAAGAGUAGCUUUCCCAAAGCUAGAGGGAACAGAUAAGAGCUCUGUCAGGAAGAACAAGGGUGUCAGGACUCUUCCCUGGCUGAGUUGAGAAUGAACCAGCUGCUGGAAAUGAAAAGCAUUUUCCUAAUUCAGAGUUAGACCUGACUGCGGAGUCCAGGUCUCUGUCUGAAAGACAAAAAAAAGUGGGACCUGACACUUUUGGAGUUUGCUGAAAAGCAAGUGAAUGCCAGCCCAGGGCAGGGAUAGUUAUGAGUCUCCUGUCUGAAAUAUUCAGGGUAAAAAAUAGUGUUAAAACUAAUCAAAGGGACUGGUAAGCGUGGAGUUAUUUACUGGCACUCUGCACUCAUGCACUUAUUAUUUCAUUCUGUUGCUUAAUGUUGACACAGAUACAUGAAAAUACUUCAGUUAUAGUUAAUUUGACCUUUAGAGUUUAAAAUGUAACUGUUUAAUGGCAACACAUUUUAUCCCUCUGUCUUUGACAUUCCUCAAAAUCAGGCUCCUGGGAUACUUUAGGGCUGAUUUGAGAGCUUGUAGCAACUAAAACACAACUAAGAAAGUUUUGUAGCAUCCAUACAGGAAGAGGAGAGCAUGCACAAACCCUGGGGAGUUCUGAGAAGCAAGAGGUACUUACUCCUGAAGAUCAGGGGUAUUGGUAUGGAAUUGCAAGCUAGUGGACUGUUCUGCCUGAUAUUGAAGCCAGGCUGAACUUUCCAUCACUUUCUGCAUCAAAGAUGGAUAUUUCUGCUCAGGUUUGGGUUCUGAUAUCGCCUGUAUUUUUCUGUUUCUCAGUCAGAUUCUAGGCAAAUCACCAGCUACCCUCAGCAUCAUUUUGCACUGUAUCCUGAAACAUGGAAAAAGCUCACAAAAGAGAAACUUGCUUUGAGGUACUGAGAAAAGGGAUGUGAGUUCUGAACCUUCAGAUUUGGCCUACAACAGGCCAGAAAACAACAUCAUCUGAUUGAAAUUCUCUGCUGUCAUCUUAUAUCACAUUUUCUGGAACUGUGGGUGGGGUGGGAGGCUGCAACUCAUCAUUUUUGUUUCUGAAACACUAAGGGCCAAAUCAUGUGAGUACUCUGAUGAAUUCAUGAUCCUUUGGAAAACAGCUCUCCUAGGACUGACACAAACAUGUUCUUUAAAGUAGAGGAUGAUAAUAAUGCUUAUUUUACCAAAAGAAGAUUGGUAUCAUUGACUUCCUUAACAGAGGAGAUCUAUGGCACAGAGUUACUUAGGGACACUCAAAACCAACCUGGUGUUUCUCCAUGUCGAGUUGGCAGUCCCUCUUGGCAGCAAAGUGGCACAGGGCCUCAGGGCCUCCAUGGCGUGGGGCAGUGCCUGUGAGAUGGGUGCUGUGGUGGCUGAUGGGGCCUUGGUGCAAGGGAAGAGCAUUGCAAAAUACAGCUCGGGCAGCCACUGGGGCUAGCUAAGCCUUGGGUCCCCUCGGGAAGGUGAAGAGCAGCAACACACAGGGAGCAGAAUAAAAAAUAUUUUGCUGGGGUCAGAGGUCUCAGCGGUAUGAGGAGAGAUUGCCUCACACUGAAUUUCAGCAUUUCAAGGAAAAAUGAAAUUAAUUUAAUAUCUUACAGGCAGUGAGGAUGGGAAAGUGAGAUGUUAGGCUGCUCAUCGAGGUCAAGCAACAUAAAAGUACUUAUCUGUCUAUUGUUUCUUUUGAUCAUAACAUUUUGAAGUGUCCAACCACUCAAACACAAGGCUUGUUUGUACUAAACAUCAGCUUUCCUUCAGAGAAGCCCCGUGCCCUGCCUCUGCCAGAUGCUGACUAAAUGAAGGAAAAAGCAUUUUUCUCUACCUUCCUUAUUCCUGGGCUGCUUGCCAAGUCCUUUUCCAAAUCCUCGUGACUCUCUCUCAAGAAAUGGGAGCUGGUUGUGCCUCUUCCCCAGGAGCAGCAGGAGCCAUUGGAGCACUCUGCUGAGCCCGGAUGGGCUGCUGUGGCAGCACCCUCAGUCCCAGUCCUGCCCCUGCCAGCGUCUCACAGGCCCUUCCCAGCCUAGUGUGGGGCUGCCUGGCACUGUGGACCAGCUCCUGAACUCCACUGGUCCCAUGGAACCUCGCCAGCCCCUCCGUGGUGUGUAACCUGCUGCCCAAGAGUAGCUGACCGGAGGCUGUGGCUGCUUUCAGCCCUGAAUGCCCAGAGCUUUCUGGACAGAGAGCUGACUGAUUUACAGAUGUAAUAUCACUGUCUACUGGCAGUCCUUCCCAAAGUGUGAUGUUUGGACUCUAAUGGAGCCCAUGAUCCCUCAGUCAAAGGGAGUGGUAUAUCCUCCACCGCCUCCAGCAGCCUUUUAUGCAGUACAUGAAAGUAAAAUUGCAGUAAUUUCAGAUAUUAAAGGAAAUAAAUACAUGGCUGACAUGAACUCCACAGCAGUACUGAACAACUGUUCUUCUUUAUCUGUCCAGUGGGUCUGAAAAUAUGAAGUUUUGAGCUAAAGGAGACUUUUAGCCCUGAAAGUUUUCCUUAGGACUUAGGAAGCAUUCAUGUUGAUACAUGCAGGUCCCUCAAAUAAAGAACUGCUGCCACAUUCAGGGAAUCUUUUAGAGAAGAUACAAUUUUCCUUGCCAGUAUCAGUACUUGUUUGUGUUACUCCUUUCUCAAAACUUUCAGUUUCAUAAAUAAUUUUUUAGAAAUAAAUAAGAUAUUUGGAAAGGGAAGGACACAAAUCUUUGAUUUGAAAAAAGUAGCUUCAGAAACUUCAAUCUUUCAAACAACUGAAAAGAACACUUAGGAUUACUUUAAAAGCACAAAAAAUCUCCACUUUUUUUCCAUAAAAUUAUCUGCAGCUAUAUAAACCUGAGUAUUGCUCCUCUGCUUAGGAAUACCUGCUUCAUUAAACACCAGGGAAAACACUGCACCAUUCCUUCUACUGUCUUUUUAAUAUUAGGUCUGAAUUGUUAUAAGCAGGAGUAUUGUCUUCAGCCAAUUCAAGGAUUUAACCCACAUGGAUUACCCAGGCAAAAAUCACAUAUGUAAAGGAAGUUGAAAGAAUGUGAAGAACCUCCUUCUAAUAAAUGAACUAGUAACCAUGCAACUUGGAAAAAAGCUGGUGGAAUCCCUUUAGGAUCUUACCCUAAGACUGAUUAAGGGAACUCAACUAUAUCUGCUGACAAACUACUCAGAAUAUUUUGUGAACUGUAACUGAAGUGUGACUGAAACUUGUCAUUUGGGCAGAAAUCAAUUCACUGUUCCUACAGCAAAAUGUAAAAUUCCCAGUACUAGUAACUUUUAUUUAAUUGAAAUAAAUAACUUCAAUUUUAAAGACUAGCUGGGCAGAAGUAUCCUACAGGGUGUUGACAUCCAGCUUCUUUCUGUGGAAGCUGACUUACAGUAGUGCCAAUUUAUGAACUAGUGAGAAGGUCUGUGAUUUAAUUAAAAACAGAACAGAUAAAAUCCUUCCUUCAUAAAUGAAAGCUAACACCCUCUAAUUGUGUGUAGCUGAGCAAGAAUACAGAGCAGCACGGGUGAGCCUUCUUUCCUUACAAUACCCUGGAGUCUCUCGUUCUGGGAAAUUGCACAAUGGCUAAUUUCAUUUAUUUUUUAAUAUUUCAUUCUUGUGUAUGUGUAGAGAUCUGCUUAAUAAUCCAGAGUAACAGGAACUGGGUCCUGGAUUUUCAAAGCAGUCUCCCAGUUCCAGAAACCUCAUCGAUGGAUGCCCACCCUUCAAAACCUAAGAUGAUGCUUUCUUUGAAUGCAAUCACUAUUGCAUUCAGGAUGUCAUCUGAAAAUGCACCAUCCAGCAUCCAAUUUUUGGCUGCAACUUUACAUGUGAUAGAGGAGCAAUGUCUGGAAAAUUGUCAGGAUAGUCAAGUGUCUUAAUUCCUCUCCACGUUAUGCAGAUAGGGCAGGAUGGGCUGGGGAAUCAGCAUUAAUCAGUAAAACUCAAGCGAAGAAAAGCACCAGAAAUGCUUCCUUCCUAGGGAUUUUCAGACACAGUGGAAUCAGACCACGCAGAAAUCCAUUUAGAGAUGUUGUUUCCCAUAAUGAUUGUUGUACUCUAAAUGUGCCUUCCCUUGCCAUGAUGCUGAGCUGUCCCUGCGUGGUACAAAGUGGAAGCUUCAAGUACCAUCUCAGCUAUCUUGGCAGCUGGAAUAUGAGAUUCCUUGUAUCCAAAUGAGGCUUCAGACACACUCUGAAGACACUCUCUGUUUUACUGAAUGCUUUCUAUUCUACUAUAUAAUUUUUGAGGCAGGUUUGACCUCUUGUAGUAUGCAGGAU